This 941-nucleotide ribosomal RNA is filed under the name Cytobacillus solani. Its description in RNAcentral is "bacterial SSU rRNA". It matches the Rfam family "Bacterial small subunit ribosomal RNA", at positions 87 to 1011 of the family's 1533-position model. Lineage: Bacteria; Bacillati; Bacillota; Bacilli; Caryophanales; Bacillaceae. The record is from RNAcentral.
AAAAGUUAGCGGCGGACGGGUGAGUAACACGUGGGCAACCUGCCUGUAAGACUGGGAUAACUUCGGGAAACCGGAGCUAAUACCGGAUAACCCUUUUCCUCACAUGUGGAAAAGUUGAAAGAUGGCUUCGGCUAUCACUUACAGAUGGGCCCGCGGCGCAUUAGCUAGUUGGUGAGGUAACGGCUCACCAAGGCGACGAUGCGUAGCCGACCUGAGAGGGUGAUCGGCCACACUGGGACUGAGACACGGCCCAGACUCCUACGGGAGGCAGCAGUAGGGAAUCUUCCGCAAUGGACGAAAGUCUGACGGAGCAACGCCGCGUGAGUGAUGAAGGUUUUCGGAUCGUAAAACUCUGUUGUUAGGGAAGAACAAGUACCGUUUGAAUAGGGCGGUACCUUGACGGUACCUAACCAGAAAGCCACGGCUAACUACGUGCCAGCAGCCGCGGUAAUACGUAGGUGGCAAGCGUUGUCCGGAAUUAUUGGGCGUAAAGCGCGCGCAGGCGGUUUUUUAAGUCUGAUGUGAAAGCCCCCGGCUCAACCGGGGAGGGUCAUUGGAAACUGGGAGACUUGAGUGCAGAAGAGGAGAGUGGAAUUCCACGUGUAGCGGUGAAAUGCGUAGAGAUGUGGAGGAACACCAGUGGCGAAGGCGACUCUCUGGUCUGUAACUGACGCUGAGGCGCGAAAGCGUGGGGAGCAGAACAGGAUUAGAUACCCUGGUAGUCCACGCCGUAAACGAUGAGUGCUAAGUGUUAGAGGGUUUCCGCCCUUUAGUGCUGCAGCAAACGCAUUAAGCACUCCGCCUGGGGAGUACGGCCGCAAGGCUGAAACUCAAAGGAAUUGACGGGGGCCCGCACAAGCGGUGGAGCAUGUGGUUUAAUUCGAAGCAACGCGAAGAACCUUACCAGGUCUUGACAUCCUCUGACAAUCCUAGAGAUAGGA